GGCGCCGUGGCCAAGUGGUAAGGCAGAGGACUGCAAAUCCUUUAUCCCCGGUUCGAAUCCGGGCGGCGCCUCCA
RNAcentral lists this transfer RNA (74 nucleotides) under Gammaproteobacteria bacterium. RNAcentral's name for it is "tRNA-Cys". It matches the Rfam family "tRNA". From Rfam's summary of the family: Transfer RNA (tRNA) molecules are approximately 80 nucleotides in length. Their secondary structure includes four short double-helical elements and three loops (D, anti-codon, and T loops). RNAcentral also lists the same sequence under 3 other names. The record is from RNAcentral. Lineage: Bacteria; Pseudomonadati; Pseudomonadota; Gammaproteobacteria.